This is a long non-coding RNA of Ooceraea biroi (clonal raider ant), 985 nucleotides long. RefSeq lists it as uncharacterized. NCBI's taxonomy places the organism in Eukaryota, Metazoa, Arthropoda, Insecta, Hymenoptera, Formicidae. The record is from RefSeq and is a predicted model, not a curated record.
AUGUCCACGUUUGAGGCGUUACAGUUAAAACGCGAGCGUGACCGCUCUCAGGCUUCUCUCUGGUAAUAGUAAGGAGACCUAACUCCAUAGAUUAGAAGUGGCAGCGAAAUGUUCCGCAUGUGGCCAGGUUCGCCGAAUGGAAGAACUUGCAACAUUUCGUCGCCAUUUUGAAAUUAAUGACAGAUGAUAAAAAGGUUAAAAAUAUAUAACAUACACGUAGUUCCAAUAGGAUGUGUUAAUAUUUAUAAUAUAUACAUGUAUAUAUUGCUGUAGAAAGAAUAAAUAAUAAUAUUGAAAGCCUUUUACAAAGACGCAAUGAAACCUGAUGGACACAAUAGCUUUAAAUACUUACAAGAUAAUAUAGAGUUGAUUACACUUCCUUCUACAAAAUGGAGUUAUUCAAGAGGAAAUGAAGUGUUUUUUGGUUUCCAAAAAGUGGAAACUAAUUAUAGUGUAACAAAAAGAAUUGCUUUUUUACAAAAUGGAAAGGUUAAUAUUUAUAUACAUAAUAAAUUUUAUAUACAUAAUAAAAUUCAUUCUUUUUCAAAAUUUAUUAGUAUUGUAAAUAUUGAGGAAUUAAAUGAAUUGUUAACAAUUGUAGAUGAAUUAGAAACACAAUGAAAUACUUAUAAAAUCAGAAUUCUGUACUUAAAUCAUAUCAAAAUAGCUUAAGUGUUCAAUUACAAUAUAUUUUAAUAAUAAUAUUACAUUUUUCAAUUUAAUAUUAUUCAUAUUAUUGCUAGAAGAAUCUUAUUGCUGUAUUUGUGCGAUAUUAAUAUUAACAUAUCAGAUAUUAUACUCUAUUGUACAUUGUGUGCAUAUACUUAAGUAUAUGAACGUAUUAUAUGUAUACUUUAUUUUAUAAAGUUAUAUUUUAGAAAGACAGGGAACGAAAUUGUGAAUGAGACAAAUUGUAAAAACAAAGUUGUAUUUCUGUUUUAUUUUUGAAAAUAAACAUUUGUAAUACAAAACUGUGUAUUAAACA